This 484-nucleotide ribosomal RNA is filed under the name uncultured bacterium. RNAcentral describes it as "partial 16S ribosomal RNA". It matches the Rfam family "Bacterial small subunit ribosomal RNA", at positions 28 to 507 of the family's 1533-position model. The record is from RNAcentral.
AUUGAACGCUGGCGGCAUGCUUUACACAUGCAAGUCGAACGGCAGCGCGGGCUUCGGCCUGGCGGCGAGUGGCGAACGGGUGAGUAAUGCGUCGGAACGUGCCCAGUAGUGGGGGAUAGCCCGGCGAAAGCCGGAUUAAUACUGCAUACGACCUGAGGGUGAAAGCGGGGGACCGAAAGGCCUCGCGCUAUUUGAGCGGCCGAUGUCGGAUUAGCUAGUUGGUGGGGUAAAGGCUUACCAAGGCGACGAUCCGUAGCUGGUCUGAGAGGACUACCAGCCACACUGGGACUGAGACACGGCCCAGACUCCUACGGGAGGCAGCAGUGGGGAAUUUUGGACAAUGGGGGCAACCCUGAUCCAGCCAUGCCGCGUGCGGGAAGAAGGCCUUCGGGUUGUAAACCGCUUUUGUUCGGGAAGAAAUCCUCUGGGCUAAUACCCCGGGGGGAUGACGGUACCGGAAGAAUAAGCACCGGCUAACUACGUG